Molecule: ribosomal RNA, 497 nt
Filed under: uncultured bacterium
Lineage: Bacteria
Description: partial 16S ribosomal RNA
Rfam family: Bacterial small subunit ribosomal RNA
Source: RNAcentral
GAUGAACGCUGGCGGCGUGCCUAAUACGUGCAAGUCGAGCGAACAGACGAGGAGCUUGCUCCUCUGACGUUAGCGGCGGACGGGUGAGUAACACGUGGAUAACCUACCUAUAAGACUGGGAUAACUUCGGGAAACCGGAGCUAAUACCGGAUAAUAUAUUGAACCGCAUGGUUCAAUAGUGAAAGACGGUUUUGCUGUCACUUAUAGAUGGAUCCGCGCCGCAUUAGCUAGUUGGUAAGGUAACGGCUUACCAAGGCGACGAUGCGUAGCCGACCUGAGAGGGUGAUCGGCCACACUGGAACUGAGACACGGUCCAGACUCCUACGGGAGGCAGCAGUAGGGAAUCUUCCGCAAUGGGCGAAAGCCUGACGGAGCAACGCCGCAUGAGUGAUGAAGGUCUUCGGAUCGUAAAACUCUGUUAUUAGGGAAGAACAAAUGUGUAAGUAACUAUGCACGUCUUGACGGUACCUAAUCAGAAAGCCACGGCUAACUACGUG